CAUACCAAACAAAAUCAACAGUUGGAUUUAUGACCCUUUGUAUUCUGUUAAAUUCUUGAAGUAUUAUAUGAUAAUCAUUGUACUUUUUAUGAACUGAAGGCAUUUGCAGUUUGAUUAUUAGUUUCUUUUGUCCUCUUUUUUCAGUUUCCCAAGAGUUCAGUGAAGCAAGGUCACAAAACCAGGUUGACCUUGAACAUCAGAUGACACAGGCAGAAGGAGAUACUGCCAAACCUGUGGUGGCUCCUGCUAAUGAGAAAGAAGGAAGCUGAAAAGGAAGAUUCCUGAGGCAAGUG
Long non-coding RNA from Branchiostoma floridae (Florida lancelet), 293 nucleotides. RefSeq lists it as uncharacterized. NCBI's taxonomy places the organism in Eukaryota, Metazoa, Chordata, Leptocardii, Amphioxiformes, Branchiostomatidae. The record is from RefSeq and is a predicted model, not a curated record. The transcript is spliced from 3 exons.